AUGUUUAGUCUUCAACAAGAAACAUGUGUCUACACGAAAUGCCAAGCUCUAAAUCGUCAUGAACUUGUAGAUACAAUAUUCAAAAAACAACAAUAUUAAAGUCUAAAUAAUAUAAAUAUUCAUUAUUCACACAUAUUCUAGAUUUUCUAAAUCGUUUGAGACACGUAUGCAACGCCCAUGUAUUUUCCGUUCACAUAAUGUUUUGACGGUUUUCCUUUUUUAUUUAUAACGUCCUACAAACAUUGCUCAGACUAGACAGCAUGAAAGACUAAUUUUAAAACACUUUUAUAAGUCAGCGUAUAGGUUUAUUCCUUGAAUGCCAACAUCCUUUGAUCUACCGACAAUUUACCUAUAAAUAAUGUUGGCUUUCGAGGAAUAGGUGCAAAAAGUUAUCACAACACGA
This 403-nucleotide long non-coding RNA is filed under the name Mytilus galloprovincialis (Mediterranean mussel). Lineage: Eukaryota; Metazoa; Mollusca; Bivalvia; Mytilida; Mytilidae. The record is from RNAcentral.